CAUGUAAAAGCACCAGGCAGGCCCCACAAAUAACCCAGAGAUGCAUUUUAAAUAAAAGGACACAUUCUACUCAUGUAAAAACACACUGAUUCCCGGACCGUCCACGGGCCCGAUUGAGAAGGUGAAUGGGCCGCAUCCAGCCCCCAGGCCUUAGAUUGCCUACCCCUGCCCCAAAGCUAAGCUCAUACUCGCCUCCCUUUUUGACAUGGGGAGCCUCCAACAAUGCAAGUGUUCAGCAGAUUUCAGGAGGUGCUAAAGGAGGGCUAUGCCACAGGAUUCUUCUGCCUUAUGAAGCAACAGCAUAGAUCCAUGACCAAUACUGGGAAAUGCUUUGGGGCUGUAUGUUGAGCAAUGGAACACAUCCAGGAAAAACCACAGGAUCUGUUUUCCUGGAGGCUUUUAAGAUGAGACAGGAUGAUCAUCUAUCAAAUAUUCCUAUAUUCUGGGAAUUAUCUGAUUGCAAGCAGUGAGAUCUCUCAAUGUGAUUCAGACCUGAAAGUCAUGAAACCUAAGAAACGAAGAGAAAUCAGUUAAAGACAGAAGCAGGAUGUUGUUAUCUGAUUGCAACCUGGGGGAAAACAACAACAACAACACCCCACUAUCAUCUCUGCAUUUAUAAAGAGGCAACUGGGUCUGAGAUUUGGGCGAGGAUUCUUUUCUAACUGAUAGACCUUCAGUCUAGAUCAAGAAACACUUAAAUGUACAAGAGACUGCAACACACAGAGUAGGGUGACAGGUUAGGAGCAGGGAGAACAAGUUAAAGCGCAGCGUUUUAUGCUAAACAACACAAUCCUAUGCACAUUUUCCUGGGAGUAAUAUACCAUGUGAAUUUAUCGGGGCUUGCUUGUGGGUCACAAUGCGCAGAAUCAGGUUGAAAAUGAAUUAACAUUUUAAAGCCAUUAUUGUAUUACUUUGCAUUUAACAGGGUGCUUUUUUAAAACAACAACAACAAUGUAAUAAUAUAUUCUUGACAAUUUUGAACAAAAUCCUUGAACAACAUAAAAUAUCAGCACACAGGAAGGCAGCACACAGCAGUGUUCUAUCUGACAAGGGUAAGAACAAGGAGGAAAAAAUAAAAAAACCAGAAGAAGAUGUCUGUCUAGCCUGAGCCAACUUGCUGGAAACACAUCUGGUUAAAAUUCAAGGUUUUAAAUCUGCAGUAAUAUUUUAGAAAUACAUUUGCAGCCUCAAGUGCUACCUUCAGCGUGGGAAGGAAACGGAAGGGCCUCAUUGUGGCUUUUCACUGCUAAGAAAUGGUUUGUGCUGAUAGAAUUAGCACUUA
Molecule: long non-coding RNA, 1282 nt
Organism: Podarcis raffonei (Aeolian wall lizard)
Lineage: Eukaryota; Metazoa; Chordata; Lepidosauria; Squamata; Lacertidae
Exons: 4
Source: RefSeq, a predicted model, not a curated record